Molecule: long non-coding RNA, 431 nt
Organism: Oncorhynchus keta (chum salmon)
Lineage: Eukaryota; Metazoa; Chordata; Actinopteri; Salmoniformes; Salmonidae
Exons: 3
Source: RefSeq, a predicted model, not a curated record
CCACCGUGGCCUCCAGCCAACGGAUGAACCAGUUUAUUUUAAGGGAAAAUGACAGAGAUGUUAAUACCGAUCGCUAUCUGUUAACCUUGUGUAUGGAACUGAAUUACUGGUAUACUCUCUAAAUGAAUACAGGUGAACUGUAAGGUGAAUUACUGGUACACUCUCUAAAUGAAUACAGGUGAACUGUAAGGUGAAUUACUGGUACACUCUCUAAAUGAAUACAGGUGAACUGUAAGGUGAAUUACUGGUACACUCUCUAAAUGAAUACAGGUGAACUGUAAGGUGAAUUACUGGUACACUCUCUAAAUGAAUACAGGUGAACUGUAAGGUGAAUUACUGGUAUACUCUCUAAAUGAAUACAGGUGAACUGUAAGGUGAAUUACUGGUACACUCUCUAAAUGAAUACAGGUGAACUGUAAGGUGAAUUACUG